This 465-nucleotide ribosomal RNA is filed under the name uncultured bacterium. Its description in RNAcentral is "partial 16S ribosomal RNA". It matches the Rfam family "Bacterial small subunit ribosomal RNA", at positions 28 to 507 of the family's 1533-position model. The record is from RNAcentral.
GACGAACGCUGGCGGCGUGCUUAACACAUGCAAGUCGAACGGAAAGGCCCUGCUUGCAGGGUACUCGAGUGGCGAACGGGUGAGUAACACGUGGGUGAUCUGCCCUGCACUUCGGGAUAAGCCUGGGAAACUGGGUCUAAUACCGGAUAGGAGCCAUUUUUAGUGUGAUGGUUGGAAAGUUUUUUCGGUGUAGGAUGAGCUCGCGGCCUAUCAGCUUGUUGGUGGGGUAAUGGCCUACCAAGGCGGCGACGGGUAGCCGGCCUGAGAGGGUGGACGGCCACAUUGGGACUGAGGUACGGCCCAGGAUCCUAAGGGAGGCAGCAGGGGGGAAGAUUGCACAAUGGGCGCAAGCCUGAUGCAGCGACGCCGCGGGGGGGAUGACGGCCUUCGGGUUGUAAACUCCUUUCGCUAGGGACGAAGCUUUUUGUGACGGUACCUAGAUAAGAAGCACCGGCUAACUACGUG